ACCACCAACAUUCUUGGCAUUACGCAGGCCAGCAACUCCCAGCUCAAUGCAAUGGCUCAUCAGAUUCAAGAGAUGUUUCCCCAGGUUCCAUACCAUCUGGUACUGCAGGACCUCCAGCUGACACGCUCAGUUGAAAUAACAACAGACAAUAUUUUAGAAGGACGGAUUCAAGUACCUUUUCCUACACAGCGGUCAGAUAGCAUCAGACCUGCAUUGAACAGUCCUGUGGAAAGGCCAAGCAGUGACCAGGAAGAGGGAGAAACUUCUGCUCAGGUAAAACCCGCACUCUAGUGAGAGUGAGUUCAUGGAGCUGUGGAGGGGGAAUGUGGUCCCGGCAGUGGUCUUCCUCAGUCCUGAAGCUUGCAAGGCUUAGGGCACGAGUACAAAAGAAACUGUGCUGUAUCCAUCCCAAUAAUGAAGGGUAGC
Molecule: small RNA, 426 nt
Filed under: Pan troglodytes (chimpanzee)
Lineage: Eukaryota; Metazoa; Chordata; Mammalia; Primates; Hominidae
Description: retained intron
Source: RNAcentral